Molecule: ribosomal RNA, 253 nt
Filed under: uncultured bacterium
Lineage: Bacteria
Description: partial 16S ribosomal RNA
Rfam family: Bacterial small subunit ribosomal RNA
Source: RNAcentral
UACGUAGGUGGCGAGCGUUGUCCGGAUUUACUGGGCGUAAAGAGCGCGCAGGCGGCUGGUCAAGUCCGAUGUGAAAGCUCCCGGCUUAACUGGGAAAUUGCAUCGGAAACUGAUCGGCUGGAAGGUGGGAGAGGGUAGCGGAAUUCCCGGUGUAGUGGUGAAAUGCGUAGAUAUCGGGAGGAACACCAGUGGCGAAAGCGGCUACCUGGCCCAUUCUUGACGCUGAGGAGCGAAAGCGUGGGGAGCGAACAGG